Molecule: non-coding RNA, 96 nt
Organism: Acanthosepion pharaonis
Lineage: Eukaryota; Metazoa; Mollusca; Cephalopoda; Sepiida; Sepiidae
Source: the annotation of a GenBank genome assembly
AUAUCACCGGUUCUCAUACAAAACCCGAAGUUAAGCAACGUCGACCCUGGUCAGUACCUAGGUGGGUGACCAGUUGGGAAUACCAGGUACCGUAAG